AUACCGCAUACGUCCUACGGGAGAAAGCAGGGGACCUUCGGGCCUUGCGCUAUCAGAUGAGCCUAGGUCGGAUUAGCUAGUUGGUGGGGUAAUGGCUCACCAAGGCGACGAUCCGUAACUGGUCUGAGAGGAUGAUCAGUCACACUGGAACUGAGACACGGUCCAGACUCCUACGGGAGGCAGCAGUGGGGAAUAUUGGACAAUGGGCGAAAGCCUGAUCCAGCCAUGCCGCGUGUGUGAAGAAGGUCUUCGGAUUGUAAAGCACUUUAAGUUGGGAGGAAGGGCAGUAAGUUAAUACCUUGCUGUUUUGACGUUACCGACAGAAUAAGCACCGGCUAACUCUGUGCCAGCAGCCGCGGUAAUACAGAGGGUGCAAGCGUUAAUCGGAAUUACUGGGCGUAAAGCGCGCGUAGGUGGUUUGUUAAGUUGGAUGUGAAAGCCCCGGGCUCAACCUGGGAACUGCAUCCAAAACUGGCAAGCUAGAGUACGGUAGAGGGUGGUGGAAUUUCCUGUGUAGCGGUGAAAUGCGUAGAUAUAGGAAGG
Molecule: ribosomal RNA, 543 nt
Filed under: Pseudomonas sp.
Lineage: Bacteria; Pseudomonadati; Pseudomonadota; Gammaproteobacteria; Pseudomonadales; Pseudomonadaceae
Description: bacterial SSU rRNA
Rfam family: Bacterial small subunit ribosomal RNA
Source: RNAcentral